AAGACGGUAAUAGAGGGAUUGCUAGGUUUGAGUAGAGAUGAAGGACGUGGCAAGCUGCGAUAAGCCCGGGGUAAGCGCACGCGACUUAUGAUCCCGGGAUGUCCGAAUGAGAAUCUUAUGUUUACAUACUCCGUUACAUAGGUGGCGGAGGUCGAACCGUCGGAAUUGAAGCAUCUUAGUACGACGUGGAAGAGAAAUCAAUAGAGAUUACCCAAGUAGUGGCGAACGAAAAGGUAACAGCCCAAACUGAAUCUGUUAUGGUAACUUAACAGAGAUGUGGUGUAUACGGACUCAUAUAAUGAUCCUAGAACGUAGUUGAAAUAAUCUGGAACGUUUUGGCAUAGAGGGUGAUACCCCCGUAGACGAAACGGUAUAGGAUCAGUUGAGUACCAGAGUAGAUGUCCUUGGUAGUGGGCAUCGAAUAUUAGGAGAAAGUAGCUUCUAAGGCUAAAUAUAACUCAAAACCGAUAGUGCACUAGUACCGUGAGGGAAAGCUGAAAAGUACCCCGGAAGGGGGGUGAAAAGUGCAUGAAAUCUAUUACUUACAGACGUGCAUAGCAUGAAAGGUGAUUUUUCCUUAUUGGAGGUUCUAGCAAUAGAGCUAAAGAUUUGGAGCUCAAAUCGUCAGUGUUAUGCGUUCCGUCUCGAAACACGGGCCAAGGAGCUGACUGUCAUGGCAAGACUAAACCAGACAAGGUGGAGUCGAAGGGAAACCGAGUUCUCGCAGCAUUAGCGAGGAGAAGCGUGUGAAAGUGCGUUGAGUCAUGGCGGCCAGGCUAGAAGCCAGUCGAUCUAAUCCUGAGCAAGCUGAAGGCGGGCGAAAGCCCGCUGGAGGGCUGAAGCAGUUCUGACGUGCAAAUCGUUUGUGUGACUUGGGAUUAGGGGUCAAAAACCAAUCUAGACUGGCGAUUGCUAGUUCCAACCGAAGCGUCUCGUAGGGCGUCCUUAGUGGAGAUAGCGUUUCCUGUAGAGCACUGAUAAGGAAGUAUGGGGAAGAAAUUCCUCGCUUCCCAUUCAAACUCCGAAGGGAUAUGCAUUGAAGAAGCUAGGAGACGGGUUCGUGUGACGUAAGGUUCACGACCGAGAGGGGUUUAACCCAGACCGAAGUUAAGGUCCCCAAAUUUUUGCUAAGUGUCAAGCUAAAGUGUGUGUUCGCGCCAAGACAGCAGGGAGGUAAGCUCAGAAGCAGCUAUCCUUUAAAAAGUGUGUAACAACUUACCUGCCGAGCGUGGGCGCCACAAAAACGGACGGGGCUAAAGCAAAGUACCGAUACUUUGGAUACAUGCCAAGGGGCAUGUCAUGGUAGGUUGGCGUAGUGAUUGGGUCGAAGCAGGGCGGUGACGUCCUGUGGACCAUUUUCUAUUGCAGAUCUUGGCGGCAGUAACAGCAUAGUAGAGUGAGAACCUCUACCACCGCAAGCGCAAGGGUUUCCAGGCAAUGCGUUAUCAGCCUGGAGUUAGUCGAUCCUAAGGAUUACCUCAACAGAGUAAUUCGAAAGGGAAACUGGUUAAUAUUCCAGUACCUUGCAAGUUGCGUUAUUAUCUAUAUG
RNAcentral lists this ribosomal RNA (1549 nucleotides) under metagenome. RNAcentral's name for it is "bacterial LSU rRNA". It matches the Rfam family "Archaeal large subunit ribosomal RNA", at positions 15 to 1561 of the family's 2987-position model. The record is from RNAcentral.